CACAGCAGGUUGGGGGAAAUCACCUCGCAGCUACACCCACUCCCAGCAGACGCUUCCCAGGCUGUGAAGGACCAUUACCUCCAAAGCAGUGGGUUUGGUUAUCUCAGGCAUGUGGUGCACCCCGGUCCCUCUGCUGCAUGCACCCAGGACUGCCUGUGCUGCUUGCUCUUCUGGACCUGUGGAUGCUCCUGGGAGAGACGACACAGCUGUGCAGAGGUCACUGUGGGUGUCUUGCCCCAACUGCCUGACCCUUACAAGCCCUGAGCAGAACCCUGGGGAAUGAGAUAGAUGGGUGAGUUCUCCCUGCCCUCUCUUCCUCCCCAGGGACUGGGUUGGCGUAGUGAGCUUCCUGUGAUAAGACACAUGGUUCCCAGUGCCUCAGCCCAGCAGCAUUGCUGGGUAUCAGAAGACCCUUGACUGUGUCUGUGGUGACCAGUGUCAGUACAUAGGACAGGACGCCCUCUGUGGCACGGUGCCCCUCUCCCAGGCACGUGUAAUCACUCUCUACAUGUUGCCAGGCAAUUGUGCUGGGCAAGAAGUUGAAGCUGCAGCCUGAGCUGGAUAUUGAAAAGAUGAGCACCCCUCUGCUGCUCCAGGACAAGUUGAACCUUAUUAAGCACUGUGUAGCCAUCUUCCCAGGGCUCCAGAGGAAGCUGCUCACCCUCAUGGAUUCCUGGUACCAGCUGGCUUUGACAUCAUAGGUAUUGCCAAAUAAAUCCCGUAAAGUCCUAGUAGUCGAUGCUAAGUGGCCUCUUGGGCGCUGAAGAUGAGGGCAUCUGGAAGCUGUUAUCUGGAGCUCCUCAUCUCUGUCAGGGCCACCGCGGAUAGUAUAGACAGGUAGCUUCUUCGAGGAAUGCGUACGAGUCAGAACACAGUCCCCUCCUCAGGGCACCACUACAGGAGGCUGGCCUGUUGGUAACCCCGGGCAACGUCCAGUAGCUCCUUCAUUCAUUCAUUCCUCUAAGCAAAUUUUCUCUAACACCCAGUAUUUGGAUUCUGCCUAGUUGUUCAUUAAAUUGACAGGGUCCCCACAGGGUGUGGAUUUCUUGGAGGUGUGUGUGUGUGUGUGUGUGUGUG
Non-coding RNA from Peromyscus maniculatus bairdii (prairie deer mouse), 1077 nucleotides. NCBI's taxonomy places the organism in Eukaryota, Metazoa, Chordata, Mammalia, Rodentia, Cricetidae. The record is from RefSeq and is a predicted model, not a curated record.